ACGUAGGGGGCGAGCGUUAUCCGGAAUUAUUGGGCGUAAAGAGUGCGUAGGUGGUUCUUUAAGCGUGAGGUGAAAGGCAAUGACUUAACUAUUGUAAGCCUUGCGAACUGGAGAACUUGAGUGCAGGAGAGGUAAGUGGAAUUCCUAGUGUAGCGGUGAAAUGAGUAGAUAUUAGGAGGAACACCAGUGGCUAAGGCGACUUACUGGACUGUAACUGACACUGAGGCACUAAAGCGUGGUGAGCAAACAG
RNAcentral lists this ribosomal RNA (250 nucleotides) under uncultured prokaryote. RNAcentral describes it as "partial 16S rRNA". It matches the Rfam family "Bacterial small subunit ribosomal RNA", at positions 525 to 775 of the family's 1533-position model. The record is from RNAcentral.